UACGUAGGCAGCGAGCGUUGUUCGGAGUUACUGGGCGUAAAGGGUGUGUAGGCGGUUGUUUAAGUUUGGUGUGAAAUCUCCCGGCUCAACUGGGAGGGUGCGCCGAAUACUGAAUGACUUCGAGUGCGGGAGAGGAGAGCGGAAUUCCUGGUGUAGCGGUGAAGUGCGUAGAUAUCAGGAGGAACACCGGUGGUGUAGACGGCUCUCUGGACCGUAACUGACGCUGAGACACGAAAGCGUGGGUAGCAAACAGG
Molecule: ribosomal RNA, 254 nt
Filed under: uncultured bacterium
Lineage: Bacteria
Description: partial 16S ribosomal RNA
Rfam family: Bacterial small subunit ribosomal RNA
Source: RNAcentral